CGCGUAGGUGGUAGUGCAAGUCUGGGGUGGAAUCCCAGGGCUUAACCCUGGAACUGCCUUGGAAACUGUAUUACUUGAGUCAGUGAGGGGAGGGUAGAAUUCCUGGUGUAGCGGUGAAAUGCGUAGAUAUCAGGAGGAAGGCCUGUGGCGAAGGCGGCCCUCUGGCGCUGAACUGACACUGAGGCGCGAAAGCGUGGGUAGCAAACAGGAUUAGAUACCCUGGUAGUCCACGCCCUAAACGGUGGGUACUAGGUGUGGGGCUCAUAAGGGUUCUGUGCCGAAGCGAAAGCAUUAAGUACCCCGCCUGGGGAGUACGGCCGCAAGGUUGAA
RNAcentral lists this ribosomal RNA (330 nucleotides) under uncultured bacterium. Its description in RNAcentral is "bacterial SSU rRNA". It matches the Rfam family "Bacterial small subunit ribosomal RNA", at positions 568 to 898 of the family's 1533-position model. The record is from RNAcentral.